This 595-nucleotide ribosomal RNA is filed under the name uncultured Bacillus sp. RNAcentral describes it as "bacterial SSU rRNA". It matches the Rfam family "Bacterial small subunit ribosomal RNA", at positions 32 to 611 of the family's 1533-position model. The record is from RNAcentral. Lineage: Bacteria; Bacillati; Bacillota; Bacilli; Caryophanales; Bacillaceae.
AGCCAUGGCGGGUGCUAUACAUGCAAGUCGAGCGGACCGACGGGAGCUUGCUCCCUUAGGUCAGCGGCGGACGGGUGAGUAACACGUGGGUAACCUGCCUGUAAGACUGGGAUAACUCCGGGAAACCGGGGCUAAUACCGGAUGCUUGAUUGAACCGCAUGGUUCCAUCCUUAAAGGGGGCUUUUAACUACCCCUUACCGAUGGACCCCCGGCGCAUUAACUAAUUGGGGAGGGAACGGCUCCCCCAGGGGACGAUGCGUAACCCACCUGAAAAGGUGAUCGGCCCCCCUGGGACUGAAACCCGGCCCCAAAUCCUACGGGAGGGAACAGUAAGGAAUCUUCCCCAAUGGACGAAAGUCUGACGGAACAACGCCGCGUGAGUGAUGAAGGGUUUCCGAUCGUAAAACUCUGGUGGUAGGGAAAAACAAGUACCGGUCGAAUAAGGCGGUACCUUGACGGGACCUAACCCAAAAGCCCCGGGUAACUACCUGCCAGCAGCCGCGGUAAUACCUAAGUGGCAAGCGUUGUCCGGAAUUAUUGGGCGUAAAGCGCGCGCAGGCGGGUUCUUAAGUCUGAUGUGAAAGCCCCCGGCUCA